Molecule: ribosomal RNA, 754 nt
Filed under: Clostridioides difficile
Lineage: Bacteria; Bacillati; Bacillota; Clostridia; Peptostreptococcales; Peptostreptococcaceae
Description: partial 23S ribosomal RNA
Rfam family: Bacterial large subunit ribosomal RNA
Source: RNAcentral
GUAGGAUAAGCUAAGCACACUGUUGGUUAUGUGUGCCCAAGCAUUGAGGCAGUCAAAGUAGGCAAAUCCGCUUUGAUAAUGCUGGGAUGUGAUGGGGAGCGAAAUUUAGUAGCGAAGUAGCUGAUUUCACACUGUCAAGAAAAGUCUCUAUCGAGGUUAAAGGUACCCGUACCGCAAACCGACACAGGUGGGUGAGGAGAGUAUCCUAAGGCCAGCGAGAGAACUGUUGUUAAGGAACUCGGCAAAAUGACCCCGUAACUUAGGGAUAAGGGGUGCCACCAUCAGGUGGCCGCAGAGAAUAGGCCCAAGCGACUGUUUACCAAAAACAUAGGUUUCUGCUAAGUCGCAAGACGAUGUAUAGGAGCUGACGCCUGCCCGGUGCUGGAAGGUUAAGGGGAUCUGUUAGAGCAAUCGAAGCAGUGAACUUAAGCCCCAGUAAACGGCGGCCGUAACUAUAACGGUCCUAAGGUAGCGAAAUUCCUUGUCGGGUAAGUUCCGACCCGCACGAAAGGCGUAACGAUUUGGGCACUGUCUCAACAACAGACUCGGUGAAAUUGUAAUUCCGGUGAAGAUGCCGGAUACCUGCGACAGGACGGAAAGACCCCAUGGAGCUUUACUGUAGCUUGACAUUGGGUCUUGGUACUACAUGUACAGGAUAGGUGGGAGGCUUUGAAACCAGGACGCCAGUUUUGGCGGAGCCAUCCUUGGGAUACCACCCUUGUAGUACUGGGACUCUAACCAUAGGCCAUGAAUC